UACAGAGGCCUCAAGCGUUGUUCGGAUUCAUUGGGCGUAAAGGGUGCGUAGGUGGCGUCGUAAGUCGGGUGUGAAAUUUCGGAGCUUAACUCCGAAACUGCAUUCGAUACUGCGGUGCUUGAGGACUGGAGAGGAGACUGGAAUUUACGGUGUAGCAGUGAAAUGCGUAGAGAUCGUAAGGAAGACCAGUGGCGAAGGCGGGUCUCUGGACAGUUCCUGACACUGAGGCACGAAGGCCAGGGGAGCAAACGGG
This 253-nucleotide ribosomal RNA is filed under the name uncultured bacterium. RNAcentral's name for it is "partial 16S ribosomal RNA". It matches the Rfam family "Bacterial small subunit ribosomal RNA", at positions 524 to 776 of the family's 1533-position model. The record is from RNAcentral.